RNAcentral lists this ribosomal RNA (325 nucleotides) under uncultured eukaryote. RNAcentral describes it as "partial 18S ribosomal RNA". It matches the Rfam family "Eukaryotic small subunit ribosomal RNA", at positions 1470 to 1796 of the family's 1831-position model. The record is from RNAcentral.
CCCUUAGAUGUUCUGGGCCGCACGCGCGCUACACUGAUACGUUCAACGAGUCCAAAACCUUGAUUGAUAGGUCUGGGUAAUCUUUUGAAGACGUAUCGUGCUAGGGAUAGAUUAUUGCAAUUAUUAAUCUUGAACGAGGAAUUCCUAGUAAACGCAAGUCAUCAGCUUGCAUUGAUUACGUCCCUGCCCUUUGUACACACCGCCCGUCGCUCCUACCGAUCGAAGAGUUAGGUGAAUUGUUUUGAUCGAUAAGAUUUGACUAUGGUCAACUCUCGUUGUGAAAUUCUGUGAAUCUGACUGUUUAGAGGAAGGAAAAGUCGUAACA